UCGAGCGGUAACAGGACUAGCUUGCUAGUUGCUGACGAGCGGCGGACGGGUGAGUAACGCGUAGGAAUCUGCCCGGUAGUUGGGGAUAGCCCGGAGAAAUCCGGAUUAAUACCGAAUAAUCUCUGCGGAGGAAAGGGGGCUUCGGCUCUCGCUACUGGAUGAGCCUGCGUGAGAUUAGCUAGUUGGUGGGGUAAAGGCCUACCAAGGCGACGAUCUCUAGCUGGUCUGAGAGGAUGAUCAGCCACACUGGGACUGAGACACGGCCCAGACUCCUACGGGAGGCAGCAGUGGGGAAUAUUGGACAAUGGGGGCAACCCUGAUCCAGCCAUGCCGCGUGUGUGAAGAAGGCUUUCGGGUUGUAAAGCACUUUCAGACAGGAGGAAGGGUUGAUGGUUAAUACCCAUCAACAUUGACGUUACUGUCAGAAGAAGCACCGGCUAACUCCGUGCCAGCAGCCGCGGUAAUACGGAGGGUGCGAGCGUUAAUCGGAAUUACUGGGCGUAAAGCGCGCGUAGGCGGCAAGUUAAGUUGGAUGUGAAAGCCCCGGGCUCAACCUGGGAACGGCAUUCAAAACUGGCUCGCUUGAGUACGGCAGAGGAGUGUGGAAUUUCCGGUGUAGCGGUGAAAUGCGUAGAGAUCGGAAGGAACACCAGUGGCGAAGGCGACACUCUUGGGC
RNAcentral lists this ribosomal RNA (676 nucleotides) under Saccharospirillum sp. RNAcentral's name for it is "bacterial SSU rRNA". It matches the Rfam family "Bacterial small subunit ribosomal RNA", at positions 62 to 735 of the family's 1533-position model. Lineage: Bacteria; Pseudomonadati; Pseudomonadota; Gammaproteobacteria; Oceanospirillales; Saccharospirillaceae. The record is from RNAcentral.